This is a non-coding RNA of Mycena albidolilacea, 82 nucleotides long. NCBI's taxonomy places the organism in Eukaryota, Fungi, Basidiomycota, Agaricomycetes, Agaricales, Mycenaceae. The record is from the annotation of a GenBank genome assembly.
UCCUGACUAGUAUAUCGGUUAGUACACGCGCUUGUCAUGUCUCUAUCCGCGCGAAAGCUGGGUUCGACUCCCAGGUCAAGAG